CUCGCCGCCGCCGACCCCUCCCCCUCCCUCCCCCCUCCACCAACCCCCGUCGCAGCCGCAGCGCAGCGCAGCACCGCAGUCGCCCGUCGCCCCCGAUGGCGACCGCCGCCGGCCUCGUGAGCGGGCUGUCGGCGAAGGACGAGAUUAGGGAGGUGGAGAUGGAGAUCAUGAACCCGCCGGAGGAGGCGGCGGAGCGGGCCGGGCUGAAGAGGGCCUGGGGCUACGCGAACGCCGGCAGUUCUCAUGGUUUUAUUGGAGUGACUACUGCUGAAAAGGAGCCAACACUCCUGCCUCAUAACAAUGUCAAAUAUCUGAAGAAAGCUGGCAGUGGCAAUCUUCUACGUCCGGAUAUGCCAGAUACUAAUGCUUGGAGAUUUAGUAGCUCAUCUCCUGGUGGAGAUCUGGGGAGCAAAACCAGAACCCCUACGGGUACCUUUAAUGCUCAAGGCCAGUGCAAGAAAGGAAAGAAUUGCACUUCUCCUCAUGAAAGAGAGGGUUCUGGUUUUGGUAACCUGUGGAGUCAAGAAGAAAAUGCUGGUUCACUCACAUCAGUUGGUUAUGGGAAACAUAGAGGCUCUGAAGAAGGAUUUGAAGCACAAUGUGUAUCCAACUUGAAUGAUCUGCACAACUAUGGGCGAUAUAGGACCCUCAUUCAUUCUUAUGGCGCAGAUCAUAGGGGGCUGGCUCAUAACUCGCCCAACCUAAAUAUUUCAGAGGAGAGGUCUUGCAGAACUGAUAAUUUCUGGACUACAAAGCCUACCCCUCCUGUAAAUGAGCUGGUGCAGAUCUCAGUUCAAGGGAAAAACCACAAACCUAGUCUCAUGGGACACCAUAUUAGUUUGCCCUCUGAUAGCUACUUGGAUGGCAGGGAAACCUUAAGUAGAUUGCAUUUAGAUGGAGCAAAGCUGUUGCCGGAUCUGAAUGUGGCUAAAGCAAGCAGCCUAAGUGAUUCUCAUGUCUCUGAUUAUUGGCAUCGACCAUUUUACUCAUCUGUUUCAUUUGACUAUCCCCAGUAUGGUGAGAAGCGAUCUGCUUAUGGUGGACCAACAGAAAAUCUUCCUCACAAACAUCAGAAAGAACAUAGUUCAAGCUUUGCCUCAUACAGCUCAAACAGUAUAACAGGGUUCAGAAGUCCAGGCCACAAUAGCUCUGUUCAUUCCUUGGGUAGCCAACCUUCUCGAGGAAUUACUCACCUAGGAAUGACGUCCCUUCAUCAGUUAACACCUGGUAUCGAGAAAUUUGGUCUCCUUAAAGAUGUAUAUUUUGACAAGGGCUGUGGUACAUCUAGGCCUGGGUUACGUGCAAGCAGUUCAUGUCAGCCUGAGCACCUUUCCCCAAUCAAGGAUGACCCUUGGGUAACUUCAGUGCCUUUUGUACCUCUUGUUGAGUUUCCCAACAGUACAUCACCUUCAAAUAGUCCAUAUGACCCACUUGCUGACAGUAUGAACCCUCCCAAAGUUGAGAGUGGCAAUAUUCUCAAGUCCUCCAACAUAUCCUGCAGCAUUUCAAGUCAGCACACUGCUGGGAAUGGUGUUAUAGAUGGAGACAUCAACAAAUCAUUGAUUUAUGAUAAGUUGGCAAGGAAUAUGUCGGCAAAAGGGUCAAAUGAGUUUGCAGGCUUGGUUGCACCUGGUAAGGAACGCUCUAGUCUGGAUGGCGAUACUUUGGUGAAAGCUUUUGAAAGAACCAAAGAUUAUUUCCGUAUUCAUUUGGCAGAACAUGUGAAGGAGUUGCUGAAACCUAUUUGGAAGGAAGGCAAACUGAGUAAAGAUGCUCAUAAACUGAUAGUAAAAAAAUCUGUUGACAAAGUUCUUGCUACAGUUGACCUGCAUCAAGUACCAGCUACUAAAGAAUUGAUAACUGAUUAUAUAACCAUGUCUGGAACAAAGAUUGAAAAGCUUGUGAAGGCAUAUGUUGAUAGGCAUGGUACAAGAUGAGAUCCAGACUUCUAAAUGCUGAGCUCCAUCACCAUAGAUAUGGGCUUUCAGCAAACACCUUUCCGAUGUGAUUAAUCUGCAGUCCAAUGUUGCUAGGCCUGAUCUGCAGUCCAAUGUUGCUAGGCCUGAUCUGCAGUAGCCAACCUGAAGUGAAGUGGAUUUAGGGAAGCAUUCAAUUUUGCAUCUUUAAGGUUGCCAGAUAUUAAAGUCGUCUUUGAGCCUAUUAUAUCCUCAUUUUAUCAUCACUGAUCAAACUGAUGAGAGCUGCCAGAACAUGCAAAUGGAAACAAACAGUCGCCUCAUUCACCUUCUCAGAUUUUUUAUGGCCUGUACUGCUUAAUUCCUUGGCCCAUUCUGCUGAAAAGGUUCUGUUUCUGGACGGAAUGGCGUUCCAGAUUGGAAUGCUAAUACUAAAGAGUGUCCAUGUCCUGACUCGUCCAUGAAGUGGUUUGACCUAACCUCUGCCCUCAAAUGCCUAUGCUCACCCAAGCUGUAGAUCACAAAUACCUUGCUGGUCAGGCUGCGCUCUGCUUCCCAUGGGAACUGAUGCUUAACUCAGCCCUGCUCGGCGGGGCAGCUGGCUGCCCAUCUCCAUCGCCCGCCUCAUGCUUACUCUGUCUGCCUCAUCCUCCGUGUUACAUUCUUCCUCCAACAGCAAGGUGUGGUUUGGCUUUCGGUUCUGUUUUGCCGGCGAGAAUGGUGAAGGCUUUGGUUAACAUUUAAGAUCAGCAUUAAAACAGGCUUCUACUGUGCAGCCUGUGUUAUAUCACUAAAUAAAUGGAAUUUAAUUUCAA
Molecule: RNA transcript, 2731 nt
Organism: Triticum dicoccoides
Lineage: Eukaryota; Viridiplantae; Streptophyta; Magnoliopsida; Poales; Poaceae
Gene name: zinc finger CCCH domain-containing protein 36-like
Exons: 8
Source: RefSeq, a predicted model, not a curated record